RNAcentral lists this ribosomal RNA (428 nucleotides) under Bacteroidota bacterium. RNAcentral describes it as "Bacteroidetes bacterium partial 16S ribosomal RNA". It matches the Rfam family "Bacterial small subunit ribosomal RNA", at positions 355 to 776 of the family's 1533-position model. Lineage: Bacteria; Pseudomonadati; Bacteroidota. The record is from RNAcentral.
UAGGGAAUCUUCCGCAAUGGACGCAAGUCUGACGGAGCAACGCCGCGUGAGUGAAGAAGGAUUUCGGUUCGUAAAACUCUGUUGUUAGAGAAGAACAGCGCAUAGAGUAACUGUUAUGCGUGUGACGGUAUCUAACCAGAAAGCCACGGCUAACUACGUGCCAGCAGCCGCGGUAAUACGUAGGUGGCAAGCGUUGUCCGGAUUUAUUGGGCGUAAAGCGAGCGCAGGCGGUUAGAAAAGUCUGAAGUGAAAGGCAGUGGCUCAACCAUUGUAGGCUUUGGAAACUGUUUAACUUGAGUGCAGAAGGGGAGGGUGGAAUUCCAUGUGUAGCGGUGAAAUGCGUAGAUAUAUGGAGGAACACCGGUGGCGAAAGCGGCUCUCUGGUCUGUAACUGACGCUGAGGCUCGAAAGCGUGGGGAGCGAACAGG